GACGAUGUUCUCGUGUCAGUCUUCUUGAUAACAAAGAUUUUGGUUUACAGCCAAAUUGUGAUACAGCUCUUUAAUGCGUUUUUGUAAGAUAAUUAUUUAUUCGAUUGAUUGUGAAUUACUGCUUUCAACUUCUGAAGUUCGCAACACGAUUAGCGAGAUACAUUCAUUGAAUAAACGGAGUUACUGUAAAGUGUAGUCCAAAUAAUUAGACGUAAGCUACCCCGCUUACGUCUAAACGGCUACCGUCGUUUUCCUAUAGCAAAUUGAGUUCAACUUAAACUUCAGUUUUUCUCGUUAAAUCUUUGCUAAUGCAUAAAAUUAUCAUUAAUUAGACAUAAAUGUGAGCGAUUACCUCUUAAAUGUGUAAAAAUUGUGCUUUUAAACCACUUAUGUACAUUUUUAAAAAUAAACAUACACAACACACGAAGUGUGUUUGUCGUUUAUAGAAUUACAUUGAAUUAUCUUGAACGAAAUUAUUUUUUGAAUAGGUUACACAUAACCAAUUGUUGUUGUACAACAAACCACAUCACUUUUUAGCUUUCUGUACUUUUUAAUUAAAUGAAACCUAUAUGUGUGUGUUAAAACUACCAGUUGUAUCACGGAGUGUAUAUUGAUAGGAGAUGAUUCGAGUAUUUGACCCUUACUGUAGUAAAUUCAAUCUUAUGCAAAAACUAUUCAUUCGAUUUUAUUGGUUUAUACGUUAUCUUGUUGCUUAUUAAUUCCUCUUUAAAAAAAUAUACGUUUUAGUAUACUCCCGUUGCUAUUAAUGGAUUUAUAGCGAGAUAAACACAAGAAAUACACAUUUUAUGUUUUAUGUUUUACCACCGCGCGUUUUACCGUGUUGUGGCUAUCGAUUUUGUACAAUUAGCGUAAAGCGAAGCGCCGAGGUUAUACAUUUUGAUGUACCCACUCACGUCUUUGUUGAAUUAUAGUUUCAUUUCUAGGCCGAUUUUGACAAAUUAUAUAUCAUUAGAAAGCUUACGUUCCAUAGUAAACAGAUAUAUAAACAUAUAUUAAGUGUUUCUUCUGAUUUCGACAGCCCGGCGAGUUAUAACUUUAACUUUUGCAAAUAUCAUACCGUAUUGGAGUUUUAGAAUCUAGAUUUACGGUUGACAUGUUCGUACUUAAUACCAAUUUGUAGCGUUUAUAUUUGGAGUUCAGUUUUAAAAAUUACAUCUUGCUUAGGAGAAUAGAAUUCUGUAUACGAUAGAAAAAAAUUGUUUAAAAAAACGAAAGUAAUUAAGGAAUGAAGGCGGAAGAAAGUAGCGCGCGUUCCUAACGCACUGAACUGAUGCUACGAUCUUGGCGAUUAUGCUUUUGUUUAGAAACCGGCCAUUGAAUUUCCUUUGCCAUGAUUAUUAUAUUUUUGAUGGAAUAUAUUGUGGUAUUUUGUUCACGAAACAUAUCAAUAAAGCUUAUUAUAAAUAAAUCUUAACAAAUUAACGAUUUCAGCUCUUGUUUAUAACACAGAAAGGGUGAUAACUUUAUGAUGAAACAGCGUAUAUAGCGGAUCCUCUCGAUUUUAUUCGGCUUUGCAUGCAUACUUGAAAUAAAAUGGGUCUCAAAAACAUUCAUCGUUUGCUGUUAAUUAUCAACGAGGGACUUAUGUAUAAUUAUAUGAAAUGUUAUUUACCUUAAAUUAUCAAUUUAUUAAAGAUUCUUGAAUAUCACGGUCGGUGUUACGCAUUUCGUAUUUUGACAUCAGGGCAUCAUGUCCAACUAUUCAAAAUCAUAUUUUUUUUUCACUGGGACGAUGACGGCUUAGAUUUAGACAGGCAGACAGAUAGUUUAUUCAGACUUAUACAACAGUACAUCGUCUUCAACUCAAAUAUAUAAAUUAUUUUUAGACGAAUUGUAAGGUGAUUACACAUAUAGCAGUGAUGAUUCUGAGAAUGUUGCCAUGUUUCUUAUCCGUGUAAUCUAGAGUCCGUGGUUUGAGCAUUUUUAUCGCGGUGUUCAAUAAAAGAUAUCUCAAUAAUCUUGUUUAUCGAUAGAUCUGUGGUUUUAUUGCCCCUGUGUUCAGCACAAACCAAUUAUCUCUUUAUGAUCAGAUACUGUGCCGACCAAUACUAAAUAGCACUAUGGUGUCAUACGCCACAGCAGGGACCUAUACUUGUGAUCAUGGAGUCUUAGUGCAAGACUUAAAAAAGUAUGUUGUUUCGCUUGCGGUUGUUAAAGCUAAAACGGGGCUUCCCAGCUGGCACAGCUGCAGAUAUUCGGAUUUGAAUACCUAAACUUAUUCAGACCUUAUUCUUAACCGUUGCGCGUUUUACGAUAUCGGAUUUUAGGCGGGAAUACAACUCAGUGAAACUAUUCAAUUUCUUAUACAACAUUAAGCAUAUUAACAGUUAUUGAAAUUAACAAUAUCAGCGACAUCUUUUUAAAGACUAAACACCUUUUCAAGUAUCGAAUUUAACAUGUCAAUAAAAUAUAUUAAUACCAAAAAAGGCUUCAUUUAAUAUUGUUCACAUUAAACCUUUAAAUGAAAGUGUCGCUUUAACCAUUUUCCGUGUUAUUUAGCCGCGAAUCGUUUGCUAAAAACAGUUAACAAAAAGGGCUACACGUUCUAAUUCUUAAUGAAAUACAAAAAUAAGUAUAACAUAAUUAAUAACGUCCAUAAACACACACGGCAAGAUCAAAGUUUUAAUGGAAAACUAAUAUGACAUUCCGCGUAAAUUAUUAUUUUCGUCUAAAUCGAAUACUAUAUAAAGAGAAACAAUGUAUUUAUAACCGACCAAUGAGGUAACAUUAUGCAACUUUCAAUUUACACAGUGCUAUAUGGCAACAAUAUGGAAUUUGAACAGUGGUAGUGUUUUAAGGUCUGGACUAUCAUUACUUGUAAGUUUGUAUAAACAUUUUUCUAAUGCAAUUAGUAAAAUAAUGUUUAUAUUUUAUGUUUAAUAAUUUAUUGCAUGAUUAUUCUGUGCUGUUAUAUGAAUUUGAUGCCGUUAAAGCUUCCGACAUGAAUUCAUGUCGGAACGAUGCUAUUGCAAAAUAACGUUAAACGAUAUGAGGUCGAUGUAAAUCGACCUCAUAUUUAUAGGAGUACUGUAAAGUGUAACAUUGAAUUGAAGGGCGUAAUACAUUUCUAGUUUCGCUUUGGAUAAAAAUAUAUCAUAACAAUGGCAGAGAAGGGAUCAGAUGUACUAAUUGACUUUUGCUGUAAUGUUUGUGAGGAGGAAAAUUUAACCAAGGAAGCAAUGUUUUACUGUCAACAAUGUAACAAAGGCCUCUGUAAUGACUGUAUAGGACUACACAAUCAGUUUUAUAAGAUGCACGUCGCAAAUGGGAGAAGCGAGAUGGAGAAAUGGCCAGUUAAGAAGAAAUUAUUUGAAGAAUUGAAGUUUUGUCAACAGCAUAAAGAUCAACCGAUAGAGAUGUAUUGUGAAGACCACAGUAAACUCUGUUGUUCCAUGUGCCUGUUCCAUGAACACAGACAUUGUGUCAAGCUGGUGCUGAUAGAAGAAAAAUCACAAGCAGUCAAUGAAAUGGAGGAUUUUCAUACGUUACCUGCAAUUAUUGCUGAUAUCCAGAAAAAGCUUGAAACUGCAAAAGAUGACACACAAGAAUUUCGGAAGGAACUGAAGGAUUCAUAUGAUAAAGCAUAUAAAGAAAUUAAAGUACUUCGUCAGAAAAUCAACGACAUCUUAGAUGAAUUGGAGAGAAAAACAAUACUAUCGUUGGACAACUUGCUUCAAACACUAAAUCAGUCUAUUCAAUCUGAUGCGGACACGUGUUCAAAAACCACAGAUGGUUUGAAAAAAAUCUGCAAUACAAUAAAUGACAUUGAAAAUAUCCCAAAUGACUUAUCUUUUAUAGCGUACCACAAAACACUGGAAAUUGUUUCACACGCGCAGAAUCUGUUUAAAGAAUUGACUGGAACCAGAAGACCUCUAGUCAUUUUUAACAAAAACCCUAGCAUCGACACAACACUAUCUGAGUUGUCUUCUCUUGGAAGUAUUGAAUUUGUUGAAAAAAAUCUCAAGAAGGACAAUGCCAUGAUAAUCGAUUGUACUCUAUUUAUACUAGGAAGACCUACCUACGUUCAACCAUAAAAUCACAUUAAAAAUGGAUAUUGCAAAAAUUAAAACUCACUUCUCGAAUGCAUGUUCUUGUAUGUAUUAAAUUAAGGAAAUGUCAAGUAAAAAAAAAAAAAUUAUUAAAAAUCAAUAAAUAAUAAUAAUAAAAAAAUGGUAGAACUAUGUUCCCUGUCUUAUGUUAAGUGUAAUCGUAAUAUUUGCUCUUCCUAGCUUUAUUAUCACCACUAUCAUAAUCAUCAUGGUCAUCACCAUUGUCGUCAUCUCGAUCAUCAUCAUGAUUUCUAGUAUCAUCAUUAUCAGUAUUACUAUCAUUAUUAGCAUCGUUGUUGUUGUUGUUACUAUUAUUAGAAGUAUUAUUAUAACUAAGGCUGUUGUUGUAAAUCAUUAAUCCUACUCUUUAAUAUGGAGUGUAUCCACACAAAUAUUCCACCACUAACUGUUUACUAUUUAAUGUUGUUGUUGGUGUUACUUUUGUAGAAGUACUAUUAUAACAAAUGUGGUUGUUGGUGAUCACUAUACAUUAUUUUGUAAUUAGAACGAAUUCACAUACGUACUUAACUAUUAAUUAUCCAACACCUACGGGUUCGAAACCCAAAUUUUCUUUUGUUUGUAGACAAUAUAUUGUUUAAAUAACCAUUAUGUUACUGACCCUUUACUGGAGAAUUUUCACAUGACAACCACUUUCCCAAUUGAUCUACUAUGAUUUAUCGUAUAUAAUACUGUUUGUUUGAUAUCUGUGUAAUUAUCUUAUACAUAUGCUCACAUGUUAUUACAAAAUGUCAUUGUUUUGUAACCUGUGAAAACAAAUAAAGUUCUGUUCUGUUCUGUUCUGUUCUGUUCUGUAAGAGCAAAAAUCUUCACAAUGUUCGAUUAGCAUCUGAUGAAUUAGAAUGUGAUUUAAGAGGCAUUAUUGAGCUACCUGGUGGAGACAUCCUAAUUCCAGACUAUGAAAACAAGAACAUUAAGUUGCUUGAUAAGACGUUCACAGUUGUCUCUCACUUAGGCUUGCCUGGCUCUCCUUAUGACAUUUGCAGCAUAAGUCCUAAUGAGGUUGCUGUUACUGUUGAGCAAUGGGGCGAAAUUUACACCGUCCAGUUCCUCAAGGUUAAAAACAGGCAGAUAACGAAAGGCAUAGCUCUAAACUUCGAACACAUUUGUCAUGGUAUCACAUUCUUCAACCAAAGUCUAUUUAUAACUUCAUAUACUGCCUUGUAUCAGUACACACUGGAUGGUCAGCUGUUGAAGAAGAUCUAUGAAGAUACUUCAGGUUCAGCAACAGUGUACAAGUGCGCCGUGAGUGCCGAUGGAUCACGGCUGUAUGUAACCAACUACACUAACAACAAGCUCCUUACCCUGUCUAUGGAUGGGGCUGUCCUGUCAUCCUUGGAAGAUCCUGCAAUUUGCAGUCCUAGGGGUGUACACGUGUCAGAGACAGGGCAGCUGCUGGUUUGUGAAGACGGAGCACACAGCGUAGUGCAGGUGGAUGGUGAGAGAGGAGUUGUGACCCUGAUUUCCGUGGAGGACCGUCUAAAUUUCCCAGAGAAUGUGUACCAUAGUGCACGAACGGACAGGUUGAUCGUUGUACAAGCAAAUGAUAGCAUUAUGAUAACCAAUAGCAAGUAGAAUCGCAGCAUUAUUAUUUUCAUUAUCAUAUUAACAACUUAAUUGUUUACACAAAUAGCUACCAAUUUUUACUCACUUAGCAUAGAUAUAAAUAAACUUUAUCAAGUAAGGAUUUUUAGAAAGGGAUUGUCAUUGCAGAAUGAAAAGUAAUCAAAACUGGGUACACUUAAAAAAAGACGCAUUUAUUUGAAAGCAUAACGGAGAAGUGUAUUUUUAUUAUUUAUAAGAAACGUUGAAUCAUUGAUAUAAAAGUUAAUGUGCAGAUUCGAACACAUUUAAAAAAGCAAUUUUAUCAACUGUUAUUAUACCCCCAGAAACGAAGUUUAGGGGGGUAUAUAGGAGGGAGCUUGUUUGUCGGUCUGUCUGUCUGUCGGUCCGUAUAAAGUGUCCGCUCUCUAAUUCAAGUUGUUUUCAUCCAAUCUUCACCAAACUUGGUCAGAUGUUGUAUCUAGAUGAUGUCUAGGUCAACUUCGAAUAUGGGUCAUUCCGGGUCAAAAACUAGGUCUCGGGGUCACUUUUUGGGUUUUAAACAUUGAGCAUGGUGUCCGCUUUCCAAUUCAAGUAGUUUUCAUCUGAUUUUCACCAAACUUCGUCAGAAGUUUUAUCUAGAUGAUCUUAAGGCCAAGUUCGAACAUGGACCCUGCCAGAUCAAAAACUAGGUCACGGGGUCACUAAGUAUGUUUUACACAUUUAGCAUGGUGUACGAUCUCUAAUUUAAGUAGUUUUCAUCCGAUCUUCACCACACUUCGUCAGAAAUUGUAUCUAGAUGAUGUGUAGGUCAUGUUCGAACAUGGGCCAUGCCGGGUCAAAAACUAGGUCACGGGGUCACUUAGUGCGUUUUAAACAUUGAGCAUGGUGUUUUUUGUGAAGACAACAUGCAAAAUAUUCUGUGUCAAUGCGGCAUGUGGUGGGAUAUUCAUCACGUCUGUGACAAAGCUCUAGUGUUUAUUUUGAUAUCACAUACUUUAAAAAAAAGUAUGCAUAAAGCAACUCGUGCAUUGGUUCUCACUUAUUUGUUUCACAUGUUGACAAAUUGUCAUAUCAAUUGAUCAAAAUUUCAUUUAAAAAGUAAGUUUUUAACUCGCACACUGCUGAUUUCAAUGCAUAUUGAGCUUGCGACGGAUAGUAUAUUUUUUUAGUUAAACACUUAGCUGAAAAAGUGUCCUAGUUCUACCUACAUGGAUGUUGAUACCUACAAACUACAUGUAUGUAAUAUUUUGUUUAUUGAGGUCUGAUUCUUAGUUCUAUUUUAAGGGAAGGUAAAUUAUUUAAAAAAAAUCAUCAGUACGGUAAACAUUAAAAAAUACUUAUGAGUGGUGAGAAAAGGAUCGUGUGAGUUUUUUGUUUGUUAAACUUUGAAUAUUAUAUAUUUUGCGGUCAAUUUUAACAAGAUAUCUCAUUUGAUUUCGAAUACACUUGCUAGUUGUUUUUUGCAAUGAACAAUUAGGUGUUUUAUUAAACGUUUGGUUUUGCAUGUGAGGUGGUAUGAUCUACAUGGUAUUAAUUGAAUAAUAUUCAUUCUUGUUGAUUUAAAGUGUUUGCCAAUGUCUACUACCCAUGGAUGUAGCUCCGUGCUCUGUGAAAAUGGGGUUUAAUGCAUGUUCGAAAAGUGUUGUCCCAGAUUAGCCUGUGCAGUAGGCAGAGACUUUCUGUCAACGAAAAAUACCAUUAAAGCUAAACGUGUCUUCCCUGAUUAGCCUGUGUGGACUUCACAGGCUUAUCUGGGACAACGCACUACGCAUUCAUAAAAUCCCAUUUUCACAGAGCACGGCCCAAUUAUUAAUUGCAACAGACAGUUUCAUUUUAUAAGUGAUUUUGUUUGCUUUCGUAAUUGUUGUUUACACAUUCAUUUCCUUUUACUGGUGCAUGGAAUGUGCCUGUACAAAAGUGUAUAUUGUCAAUGUGCGUGUUGAAUUAUCCCAGUACCCAAUUAUUAUAUAUAAUUUGCAUUAGUUGCCAACUCAGUUAGCAAUUAAUACAUUUUAACCGUAAUACAAAUGCAAUACAUAAGGCCACUUACAAUUUUUCUGCCAGCCAUUACAGUAUGGCUUCUUGUCUUCAUUGAUCAAACUUGAAAAAUGUAGAAUGAUCUUACCUAAAUGACGCUACCAAAAAAGUUAAAUAUAAAAUUGUUCAUUAAACAUAUUAAUUAUUUCGAUAUAAAACACUACGAAACCAUGAUUCCUGAGACUAGUUUACUUAAAUGCAUUUUAAAAUAUGUUUGCGAUGAUGUUUGUUAACAUUAACUUAAUCUUGUUGUAUUGUUCUUAUUAGACCGUGUGUUUGUAUGAUCACUGAUUACCAAUGUGUGUUGUCUUCUCAUAUAUCAUGUAGCCAUGUAUGUUUGUGAACAAGAAAAUAUUUUGA
Dreissena polymorpha is the source of this 8030-nucleotide RNA transcript. RefSeq lists it as uncharacterized. The transcript is spliced from 3 exons. NCBI's taxonomy places the organism in Eukaryota, Metazoa, Mollusca, Bivalvia, Myida, Dreissenidae. The record is from RefSeq and is a predicted model, not a curated record.